CAGUCGCCACGGUAAUACAGAGGGUGCAAGCGUUAAUCGGAAUUACUGGGCGUAAAGCGCGCGUAGGUGGUUUGUUAAGUUGGAUGUGAAAUCCCCGGGCUCAACCUGGGAACUGCAUCCAAAACUGGCAAGCUAGAGUAUGGUAGAGGGUGGUGGAAUUUCCUGUGUAGCGGUGAAAUGCGUAGAUAUAGGAAGGAACACCAGUGGCGAAGGCGACCACCUGGACUGAUACUGACACUGAGGUGCGAAAGCGUGGGGAGCAAACAGGAUUAGAUACCCCGGUAGUCCCUGUCUCUUAUAA
RNAcentral lists this ribosomal RNA (301 nucleotides) under uncultured bacterium. Its description in RNAcentral is "partial 16S ribosomal RNA". It matches the Rfam family "Bacterial small subunit ribosomal RNA", at positions 509 to 809 of the family's 1533-position model. The record is from RNAcentral.